Molecule: long non-coding RNA, 2110 nt
Organism: Glossina fuscipes
Lineage: Eukaryota; Metazoa; Arthropoda; Insecta; Diptera; Glossinidae
Exons: 2
Source: RefSeq, a predicted model, not a curated record
CGUUAAAGUUGAUUUCACAGCUGUAAAAUAAUAACAUCCCUGUUACUUGUUGCAGUUUUGCAGCCACUAUCAUGAUGGUUCGCUAAUAGUACAUAAGAAACGAGUAAUCUUUAUGUAACGAGUACUCGAAAAAAUGGAAUUUCAGCCGCAAACCGGUCGUGUAAUUUUUAUUAAUUUUUCUUAAUUUUAAAUUGUUGAUUUCCAUAAGAAAUUCUUACCAAAAUAAAAGUUAAACGGUAAACAUUAAACGUCAAAAAAAGUUGAUAAAAAUAUCGCAUCAAAUAACUGCAAAAGAUUUAUGGAAAAAAAAAGAUUUCACUUUGUACAAGUAAAGUAGAAAAAAAAGAAGAAAAAAUUGCGACUUGCGUGGAAGUGGAUUGAAGAAAAUACAUCAGAAAUCUCAGAAAAAUUCCAAAGCGUCAAUGAAACAAUUUAUCAUUUUUAAAGCACCUUUCUAUAUAAAAACGCUUCUAAAAGCAAAAGUCGUACAAAAAUUUCUUAAACAUUACUAUUGAAAACUUGACGUUUUUUUUAGUUGACAUCAUUACUUGUUAAAAAAAUAAAAUAAAAAAAAAAAGUUAAAAAUCAAUGUGUUUACUUCAAGAUGAAUUAAGAGGAAAAAAGUAAUUUUACAGUUUUAUUAGCUUAUAAAUUACGUACACAUACAUGCACAUACACACACAACAAUAGAAAUUAAAGCUUUUUUUAUUUAGUGAAAAAGUUUAUUAGAAGAAGGGGAGAAAAAGAAGAAAAAACGAAAUAUACGUAAAGUUAUUGCCACAACCCGGGGUCUGGCAUUCAACUAACAAACUAUGUGUGCAGAAAAUGCUCAGAAAUGCUGCAAGAAAAUUGAAUAAGAAUAUUAAACAACAACACCGUCUUCCAUACCUAACACGGUCAACUAGCUGCAGUAGCGUAACCGUUAUUAUUAAUUAUAAUAAAAAACUUAGAAACCGGAAAACGAAAAAACAAUUUCAAACAUUCUUAAAAAAUUCAACUGAAAUCAAAUUCAUGAUAUUAAUGCACUGAACGUUAAUUUAACCGAUAAAAUAAUCAAUAGCGUAAGGAAGCAUUUAAACGGCUCGCAGAUUAUCAACAAGGACGACUGUAUUAUAAAGAAUAGUCAUAAAAACUGCGAUAAUAAUAAAAUUUUGUGUGUCUUAUAAUAAAAGAGACGGAGCAAUAAUAAUAAGAGCCUUUUCCCAAUCCCAAGGAAGCCAGUGACCGUCUAACGACUUUAAGAAAGAGAAGAAUUACAAUUGACAACUUUAAUAAUCUAAGAAGAGAAGAGCAACGGAUUCAAUCGCCCCACCACCAUCAACGGCAACAUCAACUACAACGACAAACGGAAAAGCAAUGGGAAUAUCAAGAAAAAUCUUUAAAUAAUGGAAAAGUCGCUAAAACAGUAGGAGCAACAACAAAUAAUAAAAAACUUAACCUUAAAAGAUCAUUUUUUCCCAAUACGAAGCAAGUCAGUGACCGUUUAGCGACUUUAAGAAAGAGAAGAAUUACAAUUGCCCACUUUAAUGACCUAGGAAGAGAAGAGCAACGGCAUCAAUCGCCACAAAUCUGUUCAAAUGAGACGAAAGAAUCUCUAAAUAAUAACAACAAUAGUAAUAACAAUCGCGUAGAACAAAAUUUAAAAAAACCAGGUAAGCAAAGAAGAUGUUACCCCAUCUUUCUCUUUAACUUAAGGAACUUAACAUAACAAUCGUUUCGUUUCACACUGUUCCCCAUAAAGCUGACAAUUUUUGCAUAUUUUAACCCCGUGAAGAUAUUUCCAAAAACCGAUGAUCAACAUGUAGAUCGUUCUGGAACUGAUCGCGGAACGACACGCUGGCAGUUACCAGAUUUUUUCAAAAUAUUUUCACAGGAUCGAAAGUUAUAGAUAAACGGACGAGGUUGGCUCGCUUGCUCAUUUCUGGUGAGCGUGUAUGCAGACAGUAUUCGCAAUCAUAUUUUUAACAUUGAAUUCUUAAUUGAUCAGGGAAAGUGCUUGUACCAACUGUCAGCUUCUUAUCUUUAUUUUUACAGUUGUGGUAAAUCCAACAAAAAAUGGGAUUAAUAUAAUCUAUUUUAAUAGAAAUAGAUGUAUGUCGUUAUCUCGAAA